Oreochromis aureus is the source of this 315-nucleotide long non-coding RNA. RefSeq lists it as uncharacterized. The transcript is spliced from 3 exons. NCBI's taxonomy places the organism in Eukaryota, Metazoa, Chordata, Actinopteri, Cichliformes, Cichlidae. The record is from RefSeq and is a predicted model, not a curated record.
GUUCCAGUCAACACGAUGCAUGUUAACCAGUUAUUUAUAGCUGAGCUGCACAGCAGGUAUCUGUCCAAGUCUAAGACGUGUUGAUUAGACUCGCUUUGAUCCAUAACAUCUGAUGUGAUGAAUGGACUCUGUGGAGCGUGAUGGCCGGCAGACAUGCAGAGAGGGAGUUAAAUCAGGAUAAAUGGAGUCGCAGAGAGAGAGAGAUUAUUAACCUCCCAGUCAGACACACAUCGAAGGAAACAGUUACAGUGGACAAACUAGCAGCCGGGUCCACAUGUGAUGGUGCAGUUCACCUCAUUGUGUAGCCACGCCCCC